CUACAGACCGUCACUCUAUCCCAGGAGCCCGACACCAUUCUCUGGAAGUGGAUGGAGAACGGGGCUAACUCUGCGUCUUCAUGCUACAACACCUUAUUCACCGGUUCUACACUAUCUGAGCACUAGCGCCUUGUGUGGAAAUCGGGUGCCCCUCUCUAAGUCAAAUUCUUCCUCUACCUCGCCUCCGUCAACCGCUGUUGGACGGCUGACCGGUUGGAACGGCGUGGCCUACCGCAUGAGCCAGAAUGUGUGAUGUUCUCCCAACAAGCUGAGACCAUACACCACCUUCUGGUGGAGUGCAUUUUCUCUCGCACUAUCUGGCAUGGCAUCUUCUCCUGGUGUUGCCCCGAGAUCACCGCACCAGAUGGCUCUCUUGCCUUCCUCGACUGGCUCAGCUCGAUUCUUCCUACGACGACCCUGGACAAGUGA
RNAcentral lists this ribosomal RNA (429 nucleotides) under Triticum aestivum (bread wheat). RNAcentral's name for it is "partial small subunit ribosomal RNA". Lineage: Eukaryota; Viridiplantae; Streptophyta; Magnoliopsida; Poales; Poaceae. The record is from RNAcentral.